This 429-nucleotide ribosomal RNA is filed under the name Chloroflexota bacterium. Its description in RNAcentral is "Chloroflexi bacterium partial 16S ribosomal RNA". It matches the Rfam family "Bacterial small subunit ribosomal RNA", at positions 355 to 776 of the family's 1533-position model. Lineage: Bacteria; Bacillati; Chloroflexota. The record is from RNAcentral.
UGGGGAAUAUUGCACAAUGGGCGCAAGCCUGAUGCAGCCAUGCCGCGUGUAUGAAGAAGGCCUUCGGGUUGUAAAGUACUUUCAGCGGGGAGGAAGGGAGUAAAGUUAAUACCUUUGCUCAUUGACGUUACCCGCAGAAGAAGCACCGGCUAACUCCGUGCCAGCAGCCGCGGAAAUACGGAGGGUGCAAGCGUUAAUCGGAAUUACUGGGCGUAAAGCGCACGCAGGCGGUUUGUUAAGUCAGAUGUGAAAUCCCCGGGCUCAACCUGGGAACUGCAUCUGAUACUGGCAAGCUUGAGUCUCGUAGAGGGGGGUAGAAUUCCAGGUGUAGCGGUGAAAUGCGUAGAGAUCUGGAGGAAUACCGGUGGCGAAGGCGGCCCCCUGGACGAAGACUGACGCUCAGGUGCGAAAGCGUGGGGAGCAAACAGG